UCAUUAAAAAAAAAAAAACCAAAACAGAGAGCCCUCUCAGUCUCCCUUGGUCUCUCUCAGCCUUCCCCUGGCCGGCCAUGGUUGCCACCGUAACGCCGCCGUGGCCGGUGGCCGGCGCUGCGCGAAAGGGCGGUUUUAGCCCCGCUUUAGAUCCCGCUCGAAGGACAAGCCUUCUUGACCCAAAAGGCCAAAGGAAAAGGGGGUUUCACACCCCUUUUGGUCCGAUUUCGGCGACCAAAACGGCCUCCGGCGAUGGCUUGUGGGACCAUUCCAGGUGAUCUGACGCGCGUGGAGGGCCGACGAUAGGUGAGCAGCUGCGGUGGCGUGCGCAGGAGGCGUGCGGCGCUGGGGCUGGGCAGAGGCAGGAGCGGCGGCCAGCGGCAGCUAGGGAUUUUUUUGCUGAAAGUUUGUUUUGCAUUUGGGCUAGGGUUUCUGUUAUUGGGCCAUAGGAAAUUUGGGCUGUAAUGGACUGUGGUCUUUUGUUUAUUUUUGGUUUAUUUCGUUGGGCCCGGACAAAAAUGGGCAAUUACAUAUAUCAUUUGAUGGAAUUAGUAUUGAGGAAAAAAAUUCCUACGUAAAAUUAACAAACGUUUUUCCCA
Molecule: long non-coding RNA, 599 nt
Organism: Gossypium raimondii (Peruvian cotton)
Lineage: Eukaryota; Viridiplantae; Streptophyta; Magnoliopsida; Malvales; Malvaceae
Exons: 2
Source: RefSeq, a predicted model, not a curated record